CGCGGGAUGGAGCAGGAUGGUAGCCCGUCGGGCUCAUAACCCGAAGGUCGUUGGUUCAAAUCCAGCUCCCGCAACCA
Molecule: transfer RNA, 77 nt
Filed under: Shewanella hanedai
Lineage: Bacteria; Pseudomonadati; Pseudomonadota; Gammaproteobacteria; Alteromonadales; Shewanellaceae
Description: tRNA-Met
Rfam family: tRNA
About the family: Transfer RNA (tRNA) molecules are approximately 80 nucleotides in length. Their secondary structure includes four short double-helical elements and three loops (D, anti-codon, and T loops).
Source: RNAcentral